CUUUACAUAGCCAAUACCAUUAUUACGAUAGAUUGUUGCAUUAAUCUAACGAACGGAAAAUCACUAAUUUUCAUGUACACGUUUAAAACUUGAUGUUCACGGAUUCGUCACACUACACAUUGAAAAAGUCACAUUUCAGUUUUCGAGCUCCGCCACACGAUCUUUUUAAACCUUUUAUGAACAAAGAUCCUGUUAUCUUCCAUGUUACAUUAUUUACUAUACAUUGUAAGAUCGAUAAUAUCUAUUAUAAUUAACUAUUCAUAAAGGAGCAAAGAGGGAAAUUCACGUGUGUACAAUAACUCUCAAUAAUUUACGUUGUCAAUAGUGUCAUUAUCCUAGGAACUAUUACCAGUGACGUAAACGCUACCGACAAGAUUUCUUUUCAACACACACCACUUGCAGCCAUGUCGAGCCAACAGACUCAGGAAAAAUAACUGUCCUCGGCUGGCAUGCUGGGUCAACGGAAUUUGUACUAUACCACAUAAUACCAAGUACGUCGUGGUGCGGAGAAACUAGUACACGUCAUUCUUCCUGCUAGUUUGCUAGGUUGGCAAAAGGAAUUGAUGGACUUUGCGAAUGUAGCGUGGAGGUCAGAAAAUCUCGGAGAAUGAUUUACGAGAUAUACACGAUUAAUUGAGAGCAAAUUACACGUUCUUUAAAGAACGCUAGAGUCAUUUAAAAUCUAUGCUCUCAUCAAUCGAGAAUUAGUGUCUUUGGCUGCUCCCAAGUAAAACCCUCUCGGCCAAAAUGCCCGUACGUGCUGGUUUGUUGAUAGAUCGGAUUACGCAGGUUCAAUUCUCUGUAAUAAUCACAUAAUUAGUAUUUAUUAUAAUUAUUAUUAAUUUAUAAAUGUAACUAUUAUUAUAAUUAUAGUAACGCGUAGAAAAUGUUUACAAUCAUCGCUGUAUUUGAUAAUGUCACGAUUAUUCUCAGCAAUUUUACAUUAUAUCAUGGCAUUCAAUACUAGCAAAUACUUUAGAACAUCAUAGAAUAACCAUGUAAUAUCCAAUACAGUUAUAUUUCUUAAAACUGUAGUUAUAACAAAUUUCUUUGAAACGAAAAUGAAUAAAUUAAUAUUAAAAUUAUUUUUUCAAAUAUUUAAAAUAAUGGAAUUGAUUUAACUGAAAUAUUAUUUUUAAAUGCUUCAUAUUGUUUAUCGGAUAUAUGAAUUCAUUUUAGUAAUAUCUACGUUAGAUAUUUUUUAUAUGAUUCAUCAAUGAUAUACUUACUUAACAAUUUUACCGGGCCGUAAAUCGAAGUUUUUAUUAACUAUAUCUAAAAGUUCAUUUUGAGACAGUUUAGAUGUACCAUAGUCGAAAACUGUGAUUGAAAGAGGUUCUGCCACUCCAAUGGCGUACGAAACCUAACAAUGAAAUAAUUAUUAAAUUAUAAUAAUUAAAUUAUUGUGUCUAUUCUUUGUUAAAUGUUCUUAAAAUAUUAAUGAUUUAUACCUGUACAAGACAGCGUCUGCAUAAACCAGCUUUCACCAAAGACUUCGCCACCCACCGUGCCGCGUAAGCAGCUGAUCUAUCAACUUUUGUGAAGUCUUUACCAGAAAAUGCACCACCGCCAUGAGCUCCCCAACCACCAUAAGUGUCUACUAUUAUUUUUCGACCAGUUAGACCAGCAUCACUCUGUAAACAAAGACAGUGAUUUAAAUAGGGCAGGUGUAGUUGCAUAAGUUAUUUAUUAAGCGUAUUUCGAACUAUAAGGAUUAUAGACUUAUAUACCUUUAUACAUACACAUAUAAUUUCUCUUUUUUAUCUAUACAGUUAUACGAGAUUAAUACUACAAGUUUAAAUAUGUAAAAAUUAUAUUUUACUUAUGGAUUUCACUAAGCAUAAGUUUCCUAGGGAGAGAAAUUAUUUUUAAGAAAACCUGUUUGUAUAUCAGUAAACUAGUCUCAUACAAUAAAGGAUAUGAUAAUCGUGUAGUUUAGAGAAGGUCAACAAAUCGAGUGAUCCACAGAUGUCUCUAACAAUACUGCUUAGUUUAAAUAUAGCCUGAAUAAUGAUUAUUUUACCUGUGGCCCACCAAUAAUGAACAAUC
Molecule: non-coding RNA, 2049 nt
Organism: Nomia melanderi (Alkali bee)
Lineage: Eukaryota; Metazoa; Arthropoda; Insecta; Hymenoptera; Halictidae
Source: RefSeq, a predicted model, not a curated record